GACGAACGCUGGCGGCGUGCUUAACACAUGCAAGUCGAACGGAAAGGCCCCUUUGGGGGUACUCGAGUGGCGCACGGGUGAGUAACACGUGAGUAACCUGCCCUUGACUUCGGGAUAACUUCAGGAAACUGGGGCUAAUACCGGAUAGGAAUCCUUGCUGCAUGGCGGGGGUUGGAAAGCUUCGGCGGUUAUGGAUGGACUCGCGGCGUAUCAGCUUGUUGGUGGGGUAGUGGCUUACCAAGGCGUUGACGUGUAGCCGGCCUGAGAGGGCGACCGGCCACAUUGGGUCUGAGAGGCGGCCCAGGCUCCUACGGGAGGCAGCAGUGGGGAAUAUUGCACAAUGGGCGGAAGCCGGAUGCAGCAACGCCGCGUGCGGGAUGACGGCCUUCGGGUUGUAAACCGCUUUCAGCAGGGGCGAAGCUUGUGGUGACGGUACCUGCAGAAGAAGCACCGGCUAACUACGUG
This 465-nucleotide ribosomal RNA is filed under the name uncultured bacterium. RNAcentral's name for it is "partial 16S ribosomal RNA". It matches the Rfam family "Bacterial small subunit ribosomal RNA", at positions 28 to 507 of the family's 1533-position model. The record is from RNAcentral.